This 660-nucleotide ribosomal RNA is filed under the name uncultured marine group I thaumarchaeote. RNAcentral describes it as "bacterial SSU rRNA". It matches the Rfam family "Archaeal small subunit ribosomal RNA", at positions 1 to 668 of the family's 1478-position model. Lineage: Archaea; Thermoproteati; Nitrososphaerota. The record is from RNAcentral.
UUCCGGUUGAUCCCGCCGGACCUGGCUGCUAUCGGAUUGAUACUAAGCCAUGCAAGUCUUUGUAGUAAUACAAGGCAUACGGCUCAGUAACGCGUAGUCAACCUACCCUAUGGAUGGGAAUAAUCUCGGGAAACUGAGCAUAAUACCCAACAGAUCAUCAAUUCUGGAAUGGUUGAUGAUUCAAAUGAUUUUUCGCCAUAGGAUGGGACUGCGGCCUAUCAGCUUGUUGGUGAGGUAAUGGCCCACCAAGGCGAUUACAGGUACGGGCUCUGAGAGGAGAAGCCCGGAGAUGGGUACUGAGACAAGGACCCAGGCCCUAUGGGGCGCAGCAGGCGAGAAAACUUUGCAAUGUGCGAAAGCACGACAAGGUUAAUCCGAGUGAUUUCUGCUAAAGGAAUCUUUUACCAGUUCUAAAAAUACUGGCGAAUAAGGGGUGGGCAAGUUCUGGUGUCAGCCGCCGCGGUAAAACCAGCACCUCAAGUGGUCAGGAGGAUUAUUGGGCCUAAAGCAUCCGUAGCCGGCUCUGUAAGUUUUCGGUUAAAUCUAUACGCUCAACGUAUAGGCUGCCGAAAAUACUGCACAGCUAGGGAAUGGGAGAGGUAGACGGUACUCGGUAGGAAGGGGUAAAAUCCUUUGAUCUAUCGAUGACCACCUGAGGCG